This 262-nucleotide ribosomal RNA is filed under the name uncultured bacterium. RNAcentral's name for it is "partial 16S ribosomal RNA". It matches the Rfam family "Bacterial small subunit ribosomal RNA", at positions 524 to 776 of the family's 1533-position model. The record is from RNAcentral.
UACGGAGGGUCCAAGCGUUAUCCGGAAUCAUUGGGUUUAAAAGGGUCCGUAGGCGGUUUGAUAAGUCAGUGGUGAAAUCUUUCGGCUCAACCGGGAAAUGGCCAUUGAUACUGUCAGACUUGAAUUAUUAGGAAGUAAACUAGAAUAUGGUAGUGUAAGCGGUGAAAUGCUUAGAGAUUACAAUGGAAUACCAAUUGCGAAGGCAGGUUACUACUAAUGGAAUUGACGCUGAUGGACGAAAGCGUUGGGGUAGCGAAACAGG